RNAcentral lists this ribosomal RNA (1524 nucleotides) under Vibrio parahaemolyticus. Its description in RNAcentral is "bacterial LSU rRNA". It matches the Rfam family "Bacterial large subunit ribosomal RNA", at positions 1 to 1575 of the family's 2925-position model. The record is from RNAcentral. Lineage: Bacteria; Pseudomonadati; Pseudomonadota; Gammaproteobacteria; Vibrionales; Vibrionaceae.
GUUGUAUGGUUAAGUGACUAAGCGUACACGGUGGAUGCCUUGGCAGUCAGAGGCGAUGAAAGACGUAGUAACUUGCGAUAAGCCCAGAUUAGGUAGUAACAACCAUUUGAGUCUGGGAUUUCUGAAUGGGGAAACCCACUUACAUAAGUAAGUAUCGUUAUGUGAAUACAUAGCAUAACGAGGCGAACCGGGGGAACUGAAACAUCUAAGUACCCCGAGGAAAAGAAAUCAACCGAGAUUCCGAAAGUAGCGGCGAGCGAAAUUGGACUAGCCCUUAAGCUUUACACGCGUUAGACGAACGGUCUGGAAAGUCCGACGAUACAGGGUGAUAGUCCCGUAGUUGACGACGUGUGUUCAGUGAAAUCGAGUAGGGCGGGACACGUGAUAUCCUGUCUGAAUAUGGGGGGACCAUCCUCCAAGGCUAAAUACUACUGACUGACCGAUAGUGAACCAGUACCGUGAGGGAAAGGCGAAAAGAACCCCUGUGAGGGGAGUGAAAUAGAACCUGAAACCGUGUACGUACAAGCAGUAGGAGCAGGCUUGUCCUGUGACUGCGUACCUUUUGUAUAAUGGGUCAGCGACUUAUAUUCAGUGGCAAGGUUAACCAUCUAGGGGAGCCGUAGGGAAACCGAGUCUUAACUGGGCGUUCAGUCUCUGGAUAUAGACCCGAAACCAGGUGAUCUAGCCAUGGGCAGGUUGAAGGUUGAGUAACAUCAACUGGAGGACCGAACCGACUAAUGUUGAAAAAUUAGCGGAUGACUUGUGGCUAGGGGUGAAAGGCCAAUCAAACCUGGAGAUAGCUGGUUCUCCCCGAAAGCUAUUUAGGUAGCGCCUCGGACGAAUACUACUGGGGGUAGAGCACUGUUAAGGCUAGGGGGUCAUCCCGACUUACCAACCCUUUGCAAACUCCGAAUACCAGUAAGUACUAUCCGGGAGACACACGGCGGGUGCUAACGUCCGUCGUGGAGAGGGAAACAACCCAGACCGCCAGCUAAGGUCCCAAAUUACUACUAAGUGGGAAACGAUGUGGGAAGGCUCAGACAGCCAGGAUGUUGGCUUAGAAGCAGCCAUCAUUUAAAGAAAGCGUAAUAGCUCACUGGUCGAGUCGGCCUGCGCGGAAGAUGUAACGGGGCUAAGUAGUAAACCGAAGCUGCGGCAAUAUACUUUUGUAUAUUGGGUAGGGGAGCGUUCUGUAAGCGGUUGAAGGUGUGUGGUAACGCAUGCUGGACGUAUCAGAAGUGCGAAUGCUGACAUGAGUAACGAUAAAGGGGGUGAAAAACCUCCUCGCCGGAAGACCAAGGGUUCCUGUCCAACGUUAAUCGGGGCAGGGUAAGUCGACCCCUAAGGCGAGGCCGAAAGGCGUAGUCGAUGGGAAACGGGUUAAUAUUCCCGUACUUCUUACAAUUGCGAUGGGGGGACGGAGAAGGCUAGGUGGGCCUGGCGACGGUUGUCCAGGUUCAAGUGCGUAGGCUUGAGAGUUAGGUAAAUCCGGCUCUCUUUAAGGCUGAGACACGACGUCGAGCA